This 497-nucleotide ribosomal RNA is filed under the name uncultured bacterium. RNAcentral describes it as "partial 16S ribosomal RNA". It matches the Rfam family "Bacterial small subunit ribosomal RNA", at positions 28 to 507 of the family's 1533-position model. The record is from RNAcentral.
GACGAACGCUGGCGGCGUGCCUAAUACAUGCAAGUUGAGCGCUGAAGGUUGGUACUUGUACCAACUGGAUGAGCAGCGAACGGGUGAGUAACGCGUGGGGAAUCUGCCUUUGAGCGGGGGACAACAUUUGGAAACGAAUGCUAAUACCGCAUAAAAACUUUAAACACAAGUUUUAAGUUUGAAAGAUGCAAUUGCAUCACUCAAAGAUGAUCCCGCGUUGUAUUAGCUAGUUGGUGAGGUAAAGGCUCACCAAGGCGAUGAUACAUAGCCGACCUGAGAGGGUGAUCGGCCACAUUGGGACUGGGACACGGCCCAAACUCCUACGGGAGGCAGCAGUAGGGAAUCUUCGGCAAUGGACGAAAGUCUGACCGAGGAACGCCGCGUGAGUGAAGAAGGUUUUCGGAUCGUAAAAAUCUGUUGGUAGAGAAGAACGUUGGUGAGAGUGGAAAGCUCAUCAAGUGACGGUAACUACCCAGAAAGGGACGGCUAACUACGUG